Molecule: microRNA precursor, 66 nt
Filed under: Marmota monax (woodchuck)
Lineage: Eukaryota; Metazoa; Chordata; Mammalia; Rodentia; Sciuridae
Rfam family: mir-1255 microRNA precursor family
Source: RNAcentral
CCUUAUGGGUGAACAAAGAAAAUGGUUUUCUGAUAUGGAAUCUACUCCUGGUGAAGAUGCUGUGGA